UGGGGAAUAUUGCACAAUGGGCGCAAGCCUGAUGCAGCCAUGCCGCGUGUGUGAAGAAGGCCUUCGGGUUGUAAAGCACUUUCAGCGAGGAGGAAGGUGGUGAGCUUAAUACGCUCAUCAAUUGACGUUACUCGCAGAAGAAGCACCGGCUAACUCCGUGCCAGCAGCCGCGGUAAUACGGAGGGUGCAAGCGUUAAUCGGAAUUACUGGGCGUAAAGCGCACGCAGGCGGUUUGUUAAGUCAGAUGUGAAAUCCCCGGGCUCAACCUGGGAACUGCAUUUGAAACUGGCAAGCUAGAGUCUCGUAGAGGGGGGUAGAAUUCCAGGUGUAGCGGUGAAAUGCGUAGAGAUCUGGAGGAAUACCGGUGGCGAAGGCGGCCCCCUGGACGAAGACUGACGCUCAGGUGCGAAAAGCGUGGGGAGCAAAACAGGAUUAGAUACCCCUGGUAGUCCAGCGCUGUAAAACGAUGUCGAUUUUGGAGGUUGUGCCCUUGAGGCGUGGCUUCCGGAGCUAACGCGUUAAAUCGACCGCCUGGGGGAGUACGGCCGCAAGGUUAAAAACUC
This 563-nucleotide ribosomal RNA is filed under the name uncultured bacterium. RNAcentral describes it as "partial 16S ribosomal RNA". It matches the Rfam family "Bacterial small subunit ribosomal RNA", at positions 355 to 902 of the family's 1533-position model. The record is from RNAcentral.